This 2930-nucleotide ribosomal RNA is filed under the name Escherichia coli. RNAcentral describes it as "23S ribosomal RNA". It matches the Rfam family "Bacterial large subunit ribosomal RNA". Lineage: Bacteria; Pseudomonadati; Pseudomonadota; Gammaproteobacteria; Enterobacterales; Enterobacteriaceae. The record is from RNAcentral.
GGGUUGUGAGGUUAAGCGACUAAGCGUACACGGUGGAUGCCCUGGCAGUCAGAGGCGAUGAAGGACGUGCUAAUCUGCGAUAAGCGUCGGUAAGGUGAUAUGAACCGUUAUAACCGGCGAUUUCCGAAUGGGGAAACCCAGUGUGUUUCGACACACUAUCAUUAACUGAAUCCAUAGGUUAAUGAGGCGAACCGGGGGAACUGAAACAUCUAAGUACCCCGAGGAAAAGAAAUCAACCGAGAUUCCCCCAGUAGCGGCGAGCGAACGGGGAGCAGCCCAGAGCCUGAAUCAGUGUGUGUGUUAGUGGAAGCGUCUGGAAAGGCGCGCGAUACAGGGUGACAGCCCCGUACACAAAAAUGCACAUGCUGUGAGCUCGAUGAGUAGGGCGGGACACGUGGUAUCCUGUCUGAAUAUGGGGGGACCAUCCUCCAAGGCUAAAUACUCCUGACUGACCGAUAGUGAACCAGUACCGUGAGGGAAAGGCGAAAAGAACCCCGGCGAGGGGAGUGAAAAAGAACCUGAAACCGUGUACGUACAAGCAGUGGGAGCACGCUUAGGCGUGUGACUGCGUACCUUUUGUAUAAUGGGUCAGCGACUUAUAUUCUGUAGCAAGGUUAACCGAAUAGGGGAGCCGAAGGGAAACCGAGUCUUAACUGGGCGUUAAGUUGCAGGGUAUAGACCCGAAACCCGGUGAUCUAGCCAUGGGCAGGUUGAAGGUUGGGUAACACUAACUGGAGGACCGAACCGACUAAUGUUGAAAAAUUAGCGGAUGACUUGUGGCUGGGGGUGAAAGGCCAAUCAAACCGGGAGAUAGCUGGUUCUCCCCGAAAGCUAUUUAGGUAGCGCCUCGUGAAUUCAUCUCCGGGGGUAGAGCACUGUUUCGGCAAGGGGGUCAUCCCGACUUACCAACCCGAUGCAAACUGCGAAUACCGGAGAAUGUUAUCACGGGAGACACACGGCGGGUGCUAACGUCCGUCGUGAAGAGGGAAACAACCCAGACCGCCAGCUAAGGUCCCAAAGUCAUGGUUAAGUGGGAAACGAUGUGGGAAGGCCCAGACAGCCAGGAUGUUGGCUUAGAAGCAGCCAUCAUUUAAAGAAAGCGUAAUAGCUCACUGGUCGAGUCGGCCUGCGCGGAAGAUGUAACGGGGCUAAACCAUGCACCGAAGCUGCGGCAGCGACGCUUAUGCGUUGUUGGGUAGGGGAGCGUUCUGUAAGCCUGCGAAGGUGUGCUGUGAGGCAUGCUGGAGGUAUCAGAAGUGCGAAUGCUGACAUAAGUAACGAUAAAGCGGGUGAAAAGCCCGCUCGCCGGAAGACCAAGGGUUCCUGUCCAACGUUAAUCGGGGCAGGGUGAGUCGACCCCUAAGGCGAGGCCGAAAGGCGUAGUCGAUGGGAAACAGGUUAAUAUUCCUGUACUUGGUGUUACUGCGAAGGGGGGACGGAGAAGGCUAUGUUGGCCGGGCGACGGUUGUCCCGGUUUAAGCGUGUAGGCUGGUUUUCCAGGCAAAUCCGGAAAAUCAAGGCUGAGGCGUGAUGACGAGGCACUACGGUGCUGAAGCAACAAAUGCCCUGCUUCCAGGAAAAGCCUCUAAGCAUCAGGUAACAUCAAAUCGUACCCCAAACCGACACAGGUGGUCAGGUAGAGAAUACCAAGGCGCUUGAGAGAACUCGGGUGAAGGAACUAGGCAAAAUGGUGCCGUAACUUCGGGAGAAGGCACGCUGAUAUGUAGGUGAGGUCCCUCGCGGAUGGAGCUGAAAUCAGUCGAAGAUACCAGCUGGCUGCAACUGUUUAUUAAAAACACAGCACUGUGCAAACACGAAAGUGGACGUAUACGGUGUGACGCCUGCCCGGUGCCGGAAGGUUAAUUGAUGGGGUUAGCGCAAGCGAAGCUCUUGAUCGAAGCCCCGGUAAACGGCGGCCGUAACUAUAACGGUCCUAAGGUAGCGAAAUUCCUUGUCGGGUAAGUUCCGACCUGCACGAAUGGCGUAAUGAUGGCCAGGCUGUCUCCACCCGAGACUCAGUGAAAUUGAACUCGCUGUGAAGAUGCAGUGUACCCGCGGCAAGACGGAAAGACCCCGUGAACCUUUACUAUAGCUUGACACUGAACAUUGAGCCUUGAUGUGUAGGAUAGGUGGGAGGCUUAGAAGUGUGGACGCCAGUCUGCAUGGAGCCGACCUUGAAAUACCACCCUUUAAUGUUUGAUGUUCUAACGUUGACCCGUAAUCCGGGUUGCGGACAGUGUCUGGUGGGUAGUUUGACUGGGGCGGUCUCCUCCUAAAGAGUAACGGAGGAGCACGAAGGUUGGCUAAUCCUGGUCGGACAUCAGGAGGUUAGUGCAAUGGCAUAAGCCAGCUUGACUGCGAGCGUGACGGCGCGAGCAGGUGCGAAAGCAGGUCAUAGUGAUCCGGUGGUUCUGAAUGGAAGGGCCAUCGCUCAACGGAUAAAAGGUACUCCGGGGAUAACAGGCUGAUACCGCCCAAGAGUUCAUAUCGACGGCGGUGUUUGGCACCUCGAUGUCGGCUCAUCACAUCCUGGGGCUGAAGUAGGUCCCAAGGGUAUGGCUGUUCGCCAUUUAAAGUGGUACGCGAGCUGGGUUUAGAACGUCGUGAGACAGUUCGGUCCCUAUCUGCCGUGGGCGCUGGAGAACUGAGGGGGGCUGCUCCUAGUACGAGAGGACCGGAGUGGACGCAUCACUGGUGUUCGGGUUGUCAUGCCAAUGGCACUGCCCGGUAGCUAAAUGCGGAAGAGAUAAGUGCUGAAAGCAUCUAAGCACGAAACUUGCCCCGAGAUGAGUUCUCCCUGACUCCUUGAGAGUCCUGAAGGAACGUUGAAGACGACGACGUUGAUAGGCCGGGUGUGUAAGCGCAGCGAUGCGUUGAGCUAACCGGUACUAAUGAACCGUGAGGCUUAACCUUACAACGCCGAAGCUGUU